GACGAACGCUGGCGGCGUGCUUAACACAUGCAAGUCGAACGGAAAGGCCCUGCUUUUGUGGGGCGCUCGAGUGGCGAACGGGUGAGUAACACGUGAGUAACCUGCCCUUGACUUUGGGAUAACUUCAGGAAACUGGGGCUAAUACCGGAUAGGAGCUCCUGCUGCAUGGUGGGGGUUGGAAAGUUUCGGCGGUUGGGGAUGGACUCGCGGCUUAUCAGCUUGUUGGUGGGGUAGUGGCUUACCAAGGCUUUGACGGGUAGCCGGCCUGAGAGGGUGACCGGCCACAUUGGGACUGAGAUACGGCCCAGACUCCUACGGGAGGCAGCAGUGGGGAAUAUUGCACAAUGGGCGGAAGCCUGAUGCAGCAACGCCGCGUGCGGGAUGACGGCCUUCGGGUUGUAAACCGCUUUCGCCUGUGACGAAGCGUGAGUGACGGUAAUGGGUAAAGAGGCACCGGCUAACUACGUG
This 468-nucleotide ribosomal RNA is filed under the name uncultured bacterium. Its description in RNAcentral is "partial 16S ribosomal RNA". It matches the Rfam family "Bacterial small subunit ribosomal RNA", at positions 28 to 507 of the family's 1533-position model. The record is from RNAcentral.